GCCACACGUUGUGUGGAGUAUCCCAGACACAACCUUGUGUGGACCCUCUGAGCCACAUGUUGUGUGGACUCUCCCAGACACAACCUUUGUGUGGACCGGAGCCACACCUUGUGUGGAGUCUCCCAGGACGCAACGUUGUGUGGACUCUGCGAGCCUCUGACAUGGACCUCCCAGGGCAUAGUGAUUGCGCCCUCGAAGAGUCGAGUUGUUUGGGAAUGCAGCUCCAAAUGGGUGGUAAACUCCAUCUAAAGCUAGAUACUGGCGAGAGACCGAUAGCGAACAAGUACCGUGAGGGAAAGAUGAAAAGAACUUUGGAAAGAGAGUUAAACAGUACGUGAAAUUGUUGAAAGGGAAACGCUUGAAGUCAGUCGCGUCGGCCUGGGAUCAGCCCCGCAUCAGCGAGGUGCACUCCCUGGUCGACGGGUCAGCACCAGUUUCGACCGUUGGAGAAAGGUCGGGGGAAUGUGGCAUCUUCGGAUGGACUUAUGACCCAGUGUCAUGCUAGCGUUGGGUAUGGGAAACUGGUGCGCCGC
Molecule: ribosomal RNA, 533 nt
Filed under: uncultured Basidiomycota
Lineage: Eukaryota; Fungi; Basidiomycota
Description: LSU rRNA
Rfam family: Eukaryotic large subunit ribosomal RNA
Source: RNAcentral